CCUACGGGAGGCAGCAGUGAGGAAUAUUGGUCAAUGGACGAGAGUCUGAACCAGCCAAGUAGCGUGAAGGAUGACUGCCCUAUGGGUUGUAAACUUCUUUUAUAUGGGAAUAAAAUGUUCCACGUGUGGGAUUUUGUAUGUACCAUAUGAAUAAGGAUCGGCUAACUCCGUGCCAGCAGCCGCGGUAAUACGGAGGAUCCGAGCGUUAUCCGGAUUUAUUGGGUUUAAAGGGAGCGUAGGUGGAUUGUUAAGUCAGUUGUGAAAGUUUGCGGCUCAACCGUAAAAUUGCAGUUGAAACUGGCAGUCUUGAGUACAGUAGAGGUGGGCGGAAGUCGUGGUGUAGCGGUGAAAUGCUUAGAUAUCACGAAGAACUCCGAUUGCGAAGGCAGUUCACUGGACUGCAACUGACACUGAGGCUCGAAAGUGUGGGUAUCAAACAGGAGUAGAUACCCUUGUAGUC
This 460-nucleotide ribosomal RNA is filed under the name uncultured bacterium. RNAcentral's name for it is "partial 16S ribosomal RNA". It matches the Rfam family "Bacterial small subunit ribosomal RNA", at positions 338 to 795 of the family's 1533-position model. The record is from RNAcentral.